Molecule: ribosomal RNA, 970 nt
Filed under: Cladonia ochrochlora
Lineage: Eukaryota; Fungi; Ascomycota; Lecanoromycetes; Lecanorales; Cladoniaceae
Description: SSU rRNA
Rfam family: Bacterial small subunit ribosomal RNA
Source: RNAcentral
AAUAGCCUAACGGCUGAACCAGCAAUUUGGAAGAAUGUAUAGCAAUAGCUGAUUGCACCAACAAACAGUUGAUGCAAAAUUGAUUAUAUCAAAUAAAAUUCUAGGUAGAUUUUUGAUAAUGACAUUGCUUACCUAAGUCUUGACCAAAUUACGUGCCAGCAGUCGCGGUAAUACGUAAAAGACUAGUGUUAUUCAUCUUUAAUUGGUUUAAAGGGUACCUAGACAGCGAAUAAAGCCAUAGUAGGGACUAAUUCGCUAGAGUUACUUAUGAGGGGGUAUUAAAGUACUGCAGGUGUAGAGAUGAAAUUUUGUUAUACCUCUUUUCGUAUGAGAAACUAUGGCACAGGUAUAGGUGAAAGCAUCCCCUUAUGUGAUAACUGACGUUGAGGGACGAAGGCUUUGUGUCGCGAACAGGAUUAGAUACCCCAGUAGUCAAAGCAGAAAAUGAUGAAUGUCAUAGAUUAGAUAUACAAUUUAUUCUAUAAAUGAAAGUGUAAGCAUUCCACCUCAAGAGUAAUUUGGCAACAUUGGAACUGAAAUCAUUAGACCGUUUCUGAAACCAGUAGUGAAGUAUGUUGUUUAAUUUGAUGAUACGCAAAAAACCUUACCACAAUUUGAAUAUUUAUAUAUAUCUUUUAUUGAUUUUUACUUACAUAUAUGUAGAUAAUUAAAAUGAUGCUUAAAUCUCGUUUGUGAGACUGAGUAUGAAAAAAGAUAAUAUAUUUACAAGCGUUGCACGGCUGUCUUCAGUUAAUGUCGUGAGAUUUUGGUUAGUUCCAUUAAAUUAACGUAAACCCUUACUUUAUUUUUAUAUAAAGUAGUUCCCCGCUAUAUUGGAUAUGAUAACAGGGACUAAGACAAGUCAUCAUGGCCUGAAUAUUGUGGGCUAUAGACGUGCCACAUAAACCUUACAAAAGGAUGUGAAAUUGUGAAAUUGAGCUAAUCCUCCAAAAAUGGAUAAACAUUUAAU